GAUGAACGCUGGCGGCGUGCCUAAUACAUGCAAGUCGAGCGAACAGACGAGGAGCUUGCUCCUCUGACGUUAGCGGCGGACGGGUGAGUAACACGUGGAGAACCUACCUAUAAGACUGGGAUAACUUCGGGAAACCGGAGCUAAUACCGGAUAAUAUAUUGAACCGCAUGGUUCAAUAGUGAAAGACGGUUUUGCUGUCACUUAUAGAUGGAUCCGCGCCGCAUUAGCUAGUUGGUAAGGUAACGGCUUACCAAGGCAACGAUGCGUAGCCGACCUGAGAGGGUGAUCGGCCACACUGGAACUGAGACACGGUCCAGACUCCUACGGGAGGCAGCAGUAGGGAAUCUUCCGCAAUGGGCGAAAGCUUGCCGGAGCAACGCCGCGUGAGUGAUGAAGGUCUUCGGAUCGUAAAACUCUGUUAUUAGGGAAGAACAAAUGUGUAAGUAACUAUGCACGUCUUGACGGUACCUACUCAGAAAGCCACGGCUAACUACGUG
This 497-nucleotide ribosomal RNA is filed under the name uncultured bacterium. RNAcentral's name for it is "partial 16S ribosomal RNA". It matches the Rfam family "Bacterial small subunit ribosomal RNA", at positions 28 to 507 of the family's 1533-position model. The record is from RNAcentral.